This 74-nucleotide transfer RNA is filed under the name Aeromonas phage PS1. Its description in RNAcentral is "tRNA-Met". It matches the Rfam family "tRNA". From Rfam's summary of the family: Transfer RNA (tRNA) molecules are approximately 80 nucleotides in length. Their secondary structure includes four short double-helical elements and three loops (D, anti-codon, and T loops). RNAcentral also lists the same sequence under 1 other name. The record is from RNAcentral. Lineage: Duplodnaviria; Heunggongvirae; Uroviricota; Caudoviricetes; Chimalliviridae.
GGGCCUGUAGCUCACUUGGUCAGAGCUGAGUCCUCAUAAGGCUUAGGUAGUGCGUUCAAAUCGCACCAGGCCCA